UAGGGAAUAUUGGUAAUGUGCGAAAGCGCGAACCAGCAACGCCGCGUGUGCGAUGACGGCCUUCGGGUUGUAAAGCACUUUUUGAGGGGAUGAGGAAGGACAGUACCCUCAGAAUAAGCCUCGGCUAACUACGUGCCAGCAGCCGCGGUAAAACGUAGGAGGCGAGCGUUAUCCGGAUUUACUGGGCGUAAAGCGUGUGUAGGCGGUUUGAUAAGUUGGAUGUGAAAGCUCCUGGCUUAACUGGGAGAGGUCGUUCAAAACUAUCAGACUUGAGAGUGGUAGAGGGAGGUGGAAUUCCGGGUGUAGCGGUGGAAUGCGCAGAUAUCCGGAGGAACACCAGUGGCGAAGGCGGCCUCCUGGACCACUCCUGACACUCAGACGCGAAAGCUAGGGUAGCAAACG
This 402-nucleotide ribosomal RNA is filed under the name uncultured prokaryote. RNAcentral describes it as "bacterial SSU rRNA". It matches the Rfam family "Bacterial small subunit ribosomal RNA", at positions 355 to 774 of the family's 1533-position model. The record is from RNAcentral.